RNAcentral lists this ribosomal RNA (253 nucleotides) under uncultured bacterium. Its description in RNAcentral is "partial 16S ribosomal RNA". It matches the Rfam family "Bacterial small subunit ribosomal RNA", at positions 524 to 776 of the family's 1533-position model. The record is from RNAcentral.
UACGUAGGAGACGAGCGUUGUCCGGAAUUACUGGGCGUAAAGCGCGUGUAGGCGGAUGAGCAAGUCUGCUGUGAAAGCUCCUGGCUUAACCGGGAGUGGUCGGUGGAAACUGCUCGUCUGGAGGACGGUAGAGGUAGGUAGAAUUCCCGGUGUAGUGGUGAAAUGCGUAGAGAUCGGGAGGAAUACCUGUGGCGAAGGCGGCCUACUGGGCCGGACCUGACGCUGAGGCGCGAAAGCGUGGGGAGCAAACCGG